GUCGUUUGUCAUCGCACGGAUUCUGCAAGAGAGAAUAACACGUCUUACUGAAUCCUGAACCCUGGCUGCUACGUCUUAACCAUGUUUCAAGAAGAAGGUUGUUGGAAAUCUUGUGAAAACUGCCUGUUUGUAGUGAACCAUGAGAAGAUAUGAGAAAGUGACCGGACGUGUGGUAUUUCCCGUGGAGGAUGCUUUUCUGGCUGCUGGAAAUGGCAACCGUGCUGCUUCACACAGCUUCUUCAGGCAACUGGACCUCCCAGGCCUUCAUCUGUAAAUGGGUGGGGGGAGGGCAGAUUGGAAAUUUGCCCUUAGCUGGGCAUCUCCCUCCUGCUCUUCACUGGUGGUCCGUAUCCAAUGCCUAAUUUGAGGGUACAAAUGUACCCACUCCUCUCAGAAGGCACAGGUAUCUAUAUGAAUAGUCUUCCAUGAGGGCAAGGCAGGGCUACACUUUGAUGAGGUCACAUUCUCACUUAGAACUUUCUCUUUUGUCUAUCCAUAAUUUCCCUUAUGGAUUUCCCCGCAAAAUGUUGCCUCUGUCAAUCUCUCUAAAGAAUACUGUUUAUGGCAGAAGCCACUCAAACCUCAUACGGUUUGAAGAUGCACACGUUCUAAAUGAACUUUACCCCCUGACCUCCUAUUGAUACUACCAUGAAACAUAAAUAUACAAAUGUCA
Myodes glareolus (Bank vole) is the source of this 673-nucleotide non-coding RNA. The record is from RefSeq and is a predicted model, not a curated record. NCBI's taxonomy places the organism in Eukaryota, Metazoa, Chordata, Mammalia, Rodentia, Cricetidae.